UGGGGAAUUUUGGACAAUGGGGGAAACCCUGAUCCAGCCAUCCCGCGUGUGCGAUGAAGGCCUUCGGGUUGUAAAGCACUUUUGGCAGGAAAGAAACGUCAUGGGUUAAUACCCCGUGAAACUGACGGUACCUGCAGAAUAAGCACCGGCUAACUACGUGCCAGCAGCCGCGGUAAUACGUAGGGUGCAAGCGUUAAUCGGAAUUACUGGGCGUAAAGCGUGCGCAGGCGGUUCGGAAAGAAAGAUGUGAAAUCCCAGAGCUCAACUUUGGAACUGCAUUUUUAACUACCGGGCUAGAGUGUGUCAGAGGGAGGUGGAGUUCCGCGUGUAGCAGUGAAAUGCGUAGAUAUGCGGAGGAACACCGAUGGCGAAGGCAGCCUCCUGGGAUAACACUGACGCUCAUGCACGAAAGCGUGGGGAGCAAACAGG
This 429-nucleotide ribosomal RNA is filed under the name Acidobacteriota bacterium. RNAcentral describes it as "Acidobacteria bacterium partial 16S ribosomal RNA". It matches the Rfam family "Bacterial small subunit ribosomal RNA", at positions 355 to 776 of the family's 1533-position model. The record is from RNAcentral. Lineage: Bacteria; Pseudomonadati; Acidobacteriota.